Molecule: long non-coding RNA, 1166 nt
Organism: Arachis stenosperma
Lineage: Eukaryota; Viridiplantae; Streptophyta; Magnoliopsida; Fabales; Fabaceae
Exons: 3
Source: RefSeq, a predicted model, not a curated record
AUUUCCAUCCCCUUUCUCCUUUCUCCUGAGCUCCAACCGAGAAGUGAAGGAAUCACCGGUCAAUCUCACCGCCGGAAGCGGCACCAACAAUCCUGUCAAGGAAGGUGCGCCGCAGUGUCUCUGAUGCUUGUCAAUUGCGCCGUCAGUUACUGGUGAGGGUCAGGUUGUUGUGUCGUUCCCCGCCUCUACGUCUGCCUCGCCAGCGUCGCCGCCGUUCCACUCUGCGCUUUCCUCGAAACUGUACCUCUGCUCUCCUCUCCUUCUCUCUCUAUUGUCGCGUUAUACUCAGGGUUGCCUUCUAUGCCAAUAUAAGAGAAAGGACUGCUCAGCUACUUCAUCAGUAAGAAGUGAUUGUGACUAGUGUUGAAGAAGCUUCCAAUAGUGCAAAGCCACUGCCCACUGGUUAAGCAACUUAAGAAACUCCAUUAAGAAAAUAAAGAAAAGUAUCGCAUCCUUACCUCAGCAAGAGGUGAAUGAAGAAGAAGCCUCCCUCUUUGAUGUGCUACGGUUAUUACUUGCAAGUGUUAUAUUUGUACCAAUAUUUCAAAAACUUGCCAAAGGUAAUGUAUAUGUUUAUUAUUGAUUGGAUUCCAUGUCUGUUCUUAAUUUAAAAAUAAGAAGAAUGAGCGAAUAUAUAUAUAUAUAUAUAUAUAUAUAUAUAUAUAUAUAUAUAUAUAUAUAUAUAGUGAGUUUUGGAACCAUUGGAGACUAUGUUCUUUUUCUUGCACCAUUCAAUGUUAGUAGUAGUAGUAUAACGAUUUGAAGAAUUGGCCUUUAAACCAAUAUAGCCAGCCCAAAAAACUGGAGCUGCAAAACUUCCAGCAUACAUAUUUCUCAAACUGAAGGUUAAUCUGAUCUUGAAGGAGGCAUUGAUGAAGUUGUGAACAAAAAAAUAAUAUAAUAGAAUGGAGGGAGAUGCUGAAAGAUGAUAGUAUUUAGUAAACUAUGGGCACUUGAAAGUAGAGAAUUGCAUAUAAAGCUACAAAGCCUUGAUCUCAUCGACAGUCAAUAGUAAAAAUGUAAAAUUACAUUAUUGUUAGCAUCAUGUUUUUAAAGUAAUUAUAAUUAUUUAUUAGAGUUUCUGCUAUGCUAUUCUAGCAAUUCAAGUUGUUAGAUAGUAUAGUUUUAUUUUAAUAUUAAUUAGUAAAUAAAUUAGAAGGAAUGAA